AUUGACUAUCCUUUGGCCUCUUGAAUCCUGGUGGGUGGAGACUGCACAGCCUCCCUCAAACAGUAAGGAACAAGAAGAUGACUAGAGCAAACAAAUAUCGUACUGAACUCUUGUAUCAGGAAAAUGCUAUUUUUAUCUAGAGUUCUGUGUGCGAUUCAGUGUGUCACCAACUGAAACUUGUGAACCUGAUCAUCUUCAUUUCACAAAGAAGCCAAACGGCUUAUAAGAGAGAAAUGAAAGGGCUGUUCAUUCACAGUGCAGUGUUCAAGAAACUCAUGUGAUCCAUUGUGGAUUGUGAGGAAAAGAGGAAGAAGUGGACAAGAGAGAAAGAGAAAAACCAGGAGGAAAAAUUGUAUGGUGGAAGGACUGCUCACAUUUGUCAGUCCACUUAUUUCUGUGACCAGCUGUUUUCUUCCAUGAUAGCUAUUAAACCUGGUGUACCAAAUCACCUGAUGGAUGAUAUGAGCAUUACUUGAGUAGCUUUGAAAAUAAACAAGUAUCAAUCAUAGAUCAAGAAAUGUCCAGUCAAAUUUGAAAACACACUUCCACUAAGACGCUUUCUCAGAUUCCUGCUAUAUGAGUUAUGAAUACACUGCACAGACAAUCAAUUUUUGUUAGGAUUUCAGAAUCUAAGAAGGACCUCUGAAUUUUACGAAAUCAGCAUUUUAAACGAACCUUGGAAAAACUAUUGUGUGAUCAGACACUGCAUUGAAGUGAUGGCACCCGUUGGGUAAUGGUACUCCUGGAUAAAGAGCUGAAUGCUGUGGUUUCAGUGACUUAUCACUGAAAUCUUGUGGUUUCUGUGUAGGAGCGCUGUACAAGUACAAGCUGGACAUGUUUGACAUCUUUAUUUCUGUGCUGUGAAAUCCAAUUUAUGAAAAUUGCCUCUGCUUUUAUUUUAUUCUUUUUCUUUAAUGAAGUCAGUGCCACAUUUUCCUUGCAUUCAGUGGAAACAAAAAAAGUGGAAAUAUUUUAAGGUAUCCUGUGAACUGCCUUUAACCUCUAAAGGGAGAAGAAUCAGUAUGUUCUGUUCUAUGAUUAAUAACUAAGAUAUUUAACUUUUAGAAAGAAGUUAAAAAAUCAAUGACCAACUGAUGGGUGGGGAGGAAGCAUUUAUCUGAUGUGGAGAUAAACUGAGAAACUAAGUGAAGAGCUCAUUUGAAUUAGAGUUCAAUCACUUGAAACCAAAAAAAAAAGAGAAAAAAAUAUCUAACUAUUUGCAUUAAGUAAUUCUGAAUUAAC
Gavialis gangeticus (Gharial) is the source of this 1242-nucleotide long non-coding RNA. RefSeq lists it as uncharacterized. The record is from RefSeq and is a predicted model, not a curated record. Lineage: Eukaryota; Metazoa; Chordata; Crocodylia; Gavialidae. The transcript is spliced from 6 exons.